GACCGGGUAGCUCAAAUGGUAGAGCAGCCGACAUGUCCCAGGAGGUUCUGGGUUCGAAUCCCAGUCCGAGCA
RNAcentral lists this transfer RNA (72 nucleotides) under Cotesia glomerata. Its description in RNAcentral is "tRNA-Ser". It matches the Rfam family "tRNA". From Rfam's summary of the family: Transfer RNA (tRNA) molecules are approximately 80 nucleotides in length. Their secondary structure includes four short double-helical elements and three loops (D, anti-codon, and T loops). Further hydrogen bonds mediate the characteristic L-shaped molecular structure. tRNAs have two regions of fundamental functional importance: the anti-codon, which is responsible for specific mRNA codon recognition, and the 3' end, to which the tRNAs corresponding amino acid is attached (by aminoacyl-tRNA synthetases). tRNAs cope with the degeneracy of the genetic code in two manners: having more than one tRNA (with a specific anti-codon) for a particular amino acid; and 'wobble' base-pairing, i.e. permitting non-standard base-pairing at the 3rd anti-codon position. The record is from RNAcentral. Lineage: Eukaryota; Metazoa; Arthropoda; Insecta; Hymenoptera; Braconidae.